GAGAGCACAACUCCUGGCUGCAGCUGAAGAAGGAGGACGAUUGAUUUCUGUCAGUUCGCUCUAACGUUACAGUUUGCUCCACUUUGCUCUGUGGUUUAUAUGUUUUCUUCUUACCAUUGCUUGUAAGCUGGAUUGAGUAAGAUGGAUCAUCUUUAAAGGAACCAGGAGUUAAGGCAGAUGUGGAGGCACAAUGGGUGACACCAGACACACACCAAGCACAUUGUUCGGACAUUCAAUCAUGACAUGAUCCAUGUGGAUGCUGUCCAUUGAGGAAAGAGUUUGUUCAGAGGUUUCUGGACAGAAUUAAUCCCAAAGAUGGGAAAAAGUGCACAUCCACACAAGGAGCAAGCAAAAAGACAAGGAACUUGGUGCAGAGAAAAGCUGUGGCCAUUAACCCCCAUGUGAACAGCUUCAUGCAGUCCCUGAUAGAGUUUGAAUGGGCGACUUCAAACUAAAGGCCAGUGUCAGUCUGCCACAGUUUAAUGCAUUUAUUUUUAGUGUUCAAUAAAAUUCAAAUAGAAUAUUUAAAACUAUGGGCCAGUGUUCCUUUUACCACAGUUAAAUGUUACCUUUUAGUUGAUGAUGGACUUAAAACUUCAAACUAUGGAACAGUGUUCUUUUUACCACAGUGAAAUGUUACCUUUUAGUCGAUGAUGGACUUUAAACUGAAAACUUCAAACUAUGGACCAGUGUUCUAUUUGCCAGAGUUAAAUAUAUUACAGCAGGGGCCUCAAAACUUGUUUAUACUUUAUAAUAUUUUAUUUUAUUUUACUUGUUUAUUAUUGUUUAUCUUGUUUUAAAUGAUUGUUUCAAUUACAUGUUUUUUUAAUAAAAUUUUUGAUAUAAACAUUGCUUGGAUUGCCUUUUAAUUCAUAAUGUCAUGUCAAGGAUAGCAUUUUUUUACUAUAUUAAUAACUAUAGAUUUAAACCUAAAUAUCUAGCUAUAAUACAUUAUUGUAUUAACUGUAAUAAGUAAUAAAUAGUAUUUAUGGGUCAAUAUAGACAUUACAGUAAAUUACUGUAAAAAUAGGCUAUUAUUGUAAAAUUACAGUACAGUACUGCUUUGUAACUAUACGGUACUAGUUUGUGUACUGUAAAACUGGAUUACAGUACAGUACUGUAGAACCAAAAUACAGUAACUUACUGGCAACCGUGCUGCCAGUACCGUACUGUAAAAAUACAGGGAAAUCG
Long non-coding RNA from Paramisgurnus dabryanus, 1191 nucleotides. RefSeq lists it as uncharacterized. The record is from RefSeq and is a predicted model, not a curated record. NCBI's taxonomy places the organism in Eukaryota, Metazoa, Chordata, Actinopteri, Cypriniformes, Cobitidae.